Molecule: long non-coding RNA, 852 nt
Organism: Dalotia coriaria
Lineage: Eukaryota; Metazoa; Arthropoda; Insecta; Coleoptera; Staphylinidae
Exons: 3
Source: RefSeq, a predicted model, not a curated record
GUAGGAAACACAAUUUAAUCAAUCAAUAUGAAUAGCUACGUGAUUGUGUUCCUGGUGAUUUGUGUUGUUAGCAUUAAAGGACAAACUGUUGUUGAUAAAAUAGAGAGUAUCGAAGGAAAAUUCGAUUUUAACCCCAAUGUGAUUCCAGCAAGGAUGUAUGAUUACUCAACGAAUACAAUUGCCUAUAAAGACAAAUCAACCAACAAAUGCUACAUCCAAAGAAUGCAGAAAACCACCCCAGCCCCGCUGUACAUCUCCGAUUCAAAAAGCGACACGCAAGAAGUAGAAAUACUAGCAGGACGAGGAAUUGCGCGCUUUUGCCGUGGACUAGAAGUCUACAAACUGCUCGUGCAGAUAAAAUAACUUCCGUGUACAAAAAUCAGUCCUUUUACUUUUUCUUUAGCUAUACAUCAUAGUUAAUUCGUGGUUAAAUAAAUAGUACGUACCUCACAAGUGGUACCGCAAAUCACAAGUGGAAUCCUAAAAGUUGCUAACUUCUUCGUCGCUCAUCGUUGUCGAGGAGACGUUCAGCAGAUUGCCGGCACUGCUAGAGUUACGUAAUCUAAACAAUCAGAAUCCACCGCAAUUGCGAGUUACAAUCAAUCCGAAAUAAAGAAAAGGAUGAUAGUAAAACUUCAAGCGCACCAAAUUAACCGCAACCAAAGUUACUUACGCAGUCGUCAUCGAGCGUCGCCAUUUCCUCACCGCCAUCUUCGUUAUUUAGUAUUUCAUCGCUAAGUCAGUGAAUGAAAAGAAAGUUAUGAGAUAAGCGUCUACCCAAAACCACCUCACAAUUAUGAUUAUGUUAUUCGAUAGCAGAAAAGCAAUAAAAUUCAACCGUGUGUUUGCUAA